This 578-nucleotide ribosomal RNA is filed under the name uncultured bacterium. RNAcentral's name for it is "bacterial SSU rRNA". It matches the Rfam family "Bacterial small subunit ribosomal RNA", at positions 338 to 916 of the family's 1533-position model. The record is from RNAcentral.
CCUACGGGAGGCAGCAGUGAGGAAUAUUGGUCAAUGGGCGAGAGCCUGAACCAGCAAUGCCGCGUGUGGGAUGACAGGGCUUCGCCUUGUAAACCACUGUCGGACGGGACGAAAAGAGGUAAUAACCUCUGGGACGGUACCGUCAAAGGAAGGGUCGGCUAACUACGUGCCAGCAGCCGCGGUAAUACGUAGGACCCGAGCGUUGUCCGGAUUUACUGGGUAUAAAGGGUGCGUAGGCGGUCCAGUGCGUCAGAGGUGAAAUCUCCGGGCUUAACCCGGAGGGUGCCUUUGAAACGGCAGGACUUGAGUGCGGGAGAGGGUGAUGGAAUUCCUGGUGUAGCGGUGAAAUGCGUAGAUAUCAGGAGGAACACCGGUGGCGAAGGCGGUCACCUGGCCCGUAACUGACGCUGAGGCACGAAAGCAUGGGGAGCAAACAGGAUUAGAUACCCUGGUAGUCCAUGCCAUAAACGAUGAAUACUAGGUUUUGGGCCCGUCAACGGUCCAGAGCCGCAGCUAACGCGUUAAGUACUCCGCCUGGGGAGUACGGUCGCAAGACUGAAACUCAAAGGAAUUGACGG